This 128-nucleotide unclassified non-coding RNA is filed under the name uncultured Dothideomycetes. Its description in RNAcentral is "sequence contains ITS1". The record is from RNAcentral. Lineage: Eukaryota; Fungi; Ascomycota; Dothideomycetes.
CCGAGCUCCUGCCCUCCGGGUAGAGACGCCACCCUUGUGUAUCAGACCGCUGUUGCUUUGGCGGGCCCUGCCCGCCAGAGACCCCAAACCCUAAGUGUGUGUGUCGUCAGAGUACUAUUCAAUAGUUA